AUGCUCUGGUUUCUCCUCAGAACGCAUAAAUCUUUUGCCUUUUACUAAAGGUUUCCAUGGAGAGCAACAACUGUGAAUUGGUAACCAAAUUUUUUGAGGCCUUGCUUAGGCAGGGCU
Molecule: small nuclear RNA, 117 nt
Organism: Microcebus murinus (gray mouse lemur)
Lineage: Eukaryota; Metazoa; Chordata; Mammalia; Primates; Cheirogaleidae
Gene: U5
Rfam family: U5 spliceosomal RNA
About the family: U5 RNA is a component of both types of known spliceosome.
Source: Ensembl